Molecule: ribosomal RNA, 468 nt
Filed under: uncultured bacterium
Lineage: Bacteria
Description: partial 16S ribosomal RNA
Rfam family: Bacterial small subunit ribosomal RNA
Source: RNAcentral
GACGAACGCUGGCGGCGUGCUUAACACAUGCAAGUCGAACGGAAAGGCCCUGCUUUUGUGGGGUGCUCGAGUGGCGAACGGGUGAGUAACACGUGAGUAACCUUCCCUUUACUUUGGGAUAACUUCAGGAAACUGGGGCUAAUACCGGAUAGGAGCUCCUGCUGCAUGGUGGGGGUUGGAAAGUUUCGGCGGUUGGGGAUGGACUCGCGGCUUAUCAGCUUGUUGGUGGGGUAGUGGCUUACCAAGGCUUUGACGGGUAGCCGGCCUGAGAGGGUGACCGGCCACAUUGGGACUGAGAUACGGCCCAGACUCCUACGGGAGGCAGCAGUGGGGAAUAUUGCACAAUGGGCGGAAGCCUGAUGCAGCAACGCCGCGUGCGGGAUGAAGGCCUUCGGGUUGUAAACCGCUUUCGCCUGUGACGAAGCGUGAGUGACGGUAAUGGGUAAAGAAGCACCGGCUAACUACGUG